CAGCAGCCGCGGUAACACAGAGGGUGCGAGCGUUAAUCGGAUUUACUGGGCGUAAAGCGUGCGUAGGCGGCUUCUUAAGUCUGAUGUGAAAUCCCUGAGCUUAACUUAGGAAUUGCAUUCGAUACUGGGAAGCUAGAGUAUGGGAGAGGAUGGUAGAAUUCCAGGUGUAGCGGUGAAAUGCGUAGAGAUCUGGAGGAAUACCGAUGGCGAAGGCAGCCAUCUGGCCUAAUACUGACGCUGAGGUACGAAAGCAUGGGGAGCAAACAGGAUUAGAUACCCCUGUAGUCCCUGUCUCUUAUAC
RNAcentral lists this ribosomal RNA (301 nucleotides) under uncultured bacterium. RNAcentral's name for it is "partial 16S ribosomal RNA". It matches the Rfam family "Bacterial small subunit ribosomal RNA", at positions 509 to 807 of the family's 1533-position model. The record is from RNAcentral.